Molecule: ribosomal RNA, 497 nt
Filed under: uncultured bacterium
Lineage: Bacteria
Description: partial 16S ribosomal RNA
Rfam family: Bacterial small subunit ribosomal RNA
Source: RNAcentral
GAUGAACGCUGGCGGCGUGCCUAAUACAUGCAAGUCGAGCGAACGGACGAGAAGCUUGCUUUUCUGAUGUUAGCGGCGGACGGGUGAGUAACACGUGGAUAACCUACCUAUAAGACUGGGAUAACUUCGGGAAACCGAAGCUAAUACCGGAUAAUAUUUUGAACCGCAUGGUUCAAAAGUGAAAGACGGUCUUGCUGUCACUUAUAGAUGGAUCCGCGCUGCAUUAGCUAGUUGGUAAGGUAACGGCUUACCAAGGCAACGAUGCAUAGCCGACCUGAGAGGGUGAUCGGCCACACUGGAACUGAGACACGGUCCAGACUCCUACGGGAGGCAGCAGUAGGGAAUCUUCCGCAAUGGGCGAAAGCCUGACGGAGCCACGCCGCGUGAGUGAUGAAGGUCUUCGGAUCGUAAAACUCUGUUAUUAGGGAAGAACAUAUGUGUAAGUAACUGUGCACAUCUUGACGGUACCUAAUCAGAAAGCCACGGCUAACUACGUG